This 253-nucleotide ribosomal RNA is filed under the name uncultured bacterium. Its description in RNAcentral is "partial 16S ribosomal RNA". It matches the Rfam family "Bacterial small subunit ribosomal RNA", at positions 524 to 776 of the family's 1533-position model. The record is from RNAcentral.
UACGUAGGGGGCUAGCGUUGUCCGGAAUCAUUGGGCGUAAAGAGCGCGUAGGCGGCCAGAUAAGUCCGGUGUGAAAGUCAAAGGCUCAACCUUUGAAUGCCGCUGGAAACUGUCUGGCUAGAGUCCGGGAGGGGCGAGUGGAAUUCCUGGUGUAGCGGUGAAAUGCGCAGAUAUCGGGAGGAACACCAGCGGCGAAGGCGGCACUCUGGGCUGGUACUGACGCUGAGGAGCGAAAGCGUGGGUAGCAAACAGG